This 1048-nucleotide long non-coding RNA is filed under the name Solanum tuberosum (potato). RNAcentral describes it as "long non-coding RNA (STUB_LNC006108)". Lineage: Eukaryota; Viridiplantae; Streptophyta; Magnoliopsida; Solanales; Solanaceae. The record is from RNAcentral.
CAAUGACUCCGAACCUUUCCAAUCUAUCAAGUAGAUAUGCAUAAUUUGUAAGUUAACGAACCUAUUAACACUCAUAUUAUUCUGUGUCUCUUCUAAACCCAAAAACUCACCUAAUUCAAUAAUCAACUUAAUAUAUUCUUGAGUCAUAGCAAGAUAACUAUAGAAACAUUGGAACAUUUACUUAAGUGCUACUAACAACAACCCCAACUACGAAACAGAAAACAACCGAGAAAACAAUUUAACAGUCCUAUACCCAAUCUAAAUUUUAACAUAUAAUAUUAACAUGUACUACCUAUCGUUACUCUGUUUGGCCUAACUUUUCUCUCAACCUUCAUCUGACAGCAAUAACUAUACAUAUGCCAAUUAACACUCCCACUUUAGAAUAUAAUAAUAAUAAUAAAUAAUCAAAGUUGAGGCCACUGGUUACGAAACCAGUGGCGAUACUUUUGAACCCAACAUAAAAAUCUUACUAUUGAAGAAAGCCACUUACAUAUAUAAAUAAUAAUAUAUAUACAUAUAUAGUAUCCUUCAAACCAUUGUAAUACCCUAUUCUCCUCACGUUAUUAAUUUACUUUGUUAAUCCACAAUUUGACCAGUGAUAAUCACGCCUACCACAUCAACCUGAACAACUUCCAAUUUUUAUCGGAUGUCGGCAAUUUCAAUUAUAAUAAUAACGAUAAUAACAUGAUUCAUACCAAUAUACCCAACACAAGAUUUAGGCGAAUGAUUUACCUGAAGUCUAGGGCACUCGCGUUCUUCUUUCGUUCACGCUGCUUUAUGUUAUUCCCCUCUUCCGUUCUUUUCUUUUCCUCUAUAAAUUAUUUUUACCCUAAUUAUAAUAUGACUAAUUAUAAGAGUGGUAAAAACUGUCCCACUACAAAUUUUACUAUUAUUUCCCUUAACCUCUAACUAAAUAAAUUAUAAAAAUUACCCCACUAUUUCCAUAUUGUAGUUACAAAUAGUCCAAAAUAACUAUUUAGAAUCUAUCGAAAAGUAUUUUAUGAAAUCAAAAGCUCUAGUACUCAAAACGACCAAACGGGUCGUUACA